AACAUACUUAUGAAGCCAAUUAGGCUCCACUCCUGUGAACAUUUUGAAGGCAACUGCACCAUGUUGACUGAGGCUCUGUUAUGUUGAAUAAUUGCCACUAAUUCAUUGUAUUGUUCCUUGGUCAGGAUGUGAUGCUCUUCCCCUCUAGACUCCUCACUUGUGCUACUAGAAGAUACCUUAUUCACAUUAGGCUAUCUGCCCUCGUGGUUUGUAACCCUUCACUUGAGUUUUCACCCUGUAGCAUUCCACUAUUGUGUUUCCAAGAGAAUAUUACAGUUAGAACAUACAACUCUGUUUGGAUUUACUUUAAAACAUCUUUCUAAAGAAUGUCCACUCAUCUUGUAAUGUGUGCAAUAAUAUUUUUUCUUAUCAGGGCUUGAAGUCUCAUUUUCUUGUCCAUUUACCUUAUCAUAAAAGCCAUGGCCCUAUUGGCCACAUAAUUCACAAAAAUUUCUCUCCUCUUCUUCUCUUGUUGCACAACGAAAAAGGCAUCAUCCACCUGAGGAAAUGACUCAUCAUUAGAAUUUGUGUAGUGAUAUCUUUGUAGGAUUCAUCGAGGCCCAUCAAGAACUUUAUUUUGUAAUCACUUUCCUGGUCCUCAAUGAUGGGUUUCACACCCCCACAAGUGUAUGGAUGGACUGAUAGUUUAAAAACUCUUCAAUUUGGCUCUUCAGCCUUGAGAAACACAUUCUUACUGGUUUUUUAUUUUGUGUAAUUCUUGCCAUGGAUUGUUUGACCUGAUACACUCUUAGUGCAUUUCAUCGAGAGAAUCUUUUCUCCAAAUCAACUCAUAAUUUAUAUGUUGUUUCAGCAUAAAAUGUAUUAGCUCUGAUGUCAUGGACUAACAACAUAUUGUAUGUAGGUGAUUAUGAUGUUAUUACACUGUUCCCAAUGUUUGUUUUAUGGAUCCGUUGGAUCUUUUAGUUUGGUUAAAGUUCCAUAUAUGACCUUACCUUAUUUUCUACACUCAAAGCUCAUUGCAUAGAUCUUGCCCAAGUUUGAUAAUUGUUUCCAUCAAGUAAAUAUGGGGCCAAAAUAGUGGUCAAGUUUAUGGAUCUAUCUAGGUAAUAUUGGUUGUUGAAGUACGGAUCAAAAUUCAUUUGUUCUAAAGUCCGAAGGGUUUGAUAUGUUGUGACAUCCUAAAUAUUGAAUUAUAGCAU
RNAcentral lists this long non-coding RNA (1160 nucleotides) under Carica papaya (papaya). RNAcentral's name for it is "long non-coding RNA (CPAP_LNC003992)". Lineage: Eukaryota; Viridiplantae; Streptophyta; Magnoliopsida; Brassicales; Caricaceae. The record is from RNAcentral.